RNAcentral lists this small RNA (585 nucleotides) under Bullera alba. Its description in RNAcentral is "eukaryotic LSU rRNA". It matches the Rfam family "Eukaryotic large subunit ribosomal RNA", at positions 47 to 620 of the family's 3401-position model. Lineage: Eukaryota; Fungi; Basidiomycota; Tremellomycetes; Tremellales; Bulleraceae. The record is from RNAcentral.
UAAGCGGAGGAAAAGAAACUAACAAGGAUUCCCCUAGUAACGGCGAGCGAACAGGGAAGAGCUCAAAUUUGAAAUCUGGCGUCCUCCGGGCGUCCGAGUUGUAAUCUAUAGAGACGUUUUCCGUGCCGGACCGUGUCCAAGUUCCUUGGAACAGGAUAUCAAAGAGGGUGACAAUCCCGUACUUGACACGACGACCGGUGCUCUGUGAUACGUUUUCUACGAGUCGAGUUGUUUGGGAAUGCAGCUCAAAAUGGGUGGUGAGUUCCAUCUAAAGCUAAAUAUUGGCGAGAGACCGAUAGCGAACAAGUACCGUGAGGGAAAGAUGAAAAGCACUUUGGAAAGAGAGUUAAACAGUACGUGAAAUUGUUAAAAGGGAAACGAUUGAAGUCAGUCGUGUCUGGGAGGCUCAGCCGGUUCUGCCGGUGUAUUCCUCUCAGACGGGUCAACAUCAGUUUUGUCCGACGGAUAAUGGCGGCGGGAAAGUAGCACCUCCGGGUGUGUUAUAGCCCGCUGUCGCAUACGCCGGAUGAGACUGAGGCAUGCAGCUCGCCUUUAUGGCAGGGGUUCGCCCACUUUCGAGCUUAG